GCGGUCGGCCAAUCACGACGCGCCGCUCGUUCGCCGGGUGCAUUUACAUGCGCGCUGCGGUCAGUCGAUAAUGUGGCGGGAACGUCGCGGAUUUAAACGACGAAAGCGCCGCGCGCCUCCCAGGAUCCCGCGGACGGUUUUCGCGAUUCGAUUGGACGAUUAACGGCAAUUGAGAACUGCGCGACUAUUCCGAUCAAUUCCGUUGAAGCGUAGCCGAAGAUGCUGCCGAAGAUGGACCGCGUCUAAUGCCGUGGGUGCCAGGAGAGUCGAACCAGUGGCAACCAACUGCAAUCGAUGACGGAGCGGAGUGUUCGCUGCAGUAAAUUGAUCUCCCGAAUCUAUGCAAGAAAUACGCAAGAAGAGGCAACCCUCGAGAGGGAGGAAGAGGAGGAGAGACGGAAGGAGUGAGGGUGACAAAAGCAGAUGGGAGGAUAGAGAGCGCAGGAGGAUCGUACUGGUGCAGGAGUUGAGAUGUCUGCAUGACGAAAUCAACAACCUGUAGAUACCAACUCCGGCUGCCGCUAUCACGAUAGCAAUAAGAUCUCACUGAAUUGGAUCCCAUCGUAUCGUGCCGAAAGAAAGUUGCGCGAUUGCGAUUUUCAUGAAAGCUCUGCGAAAUUCGAGACUUUUCGCUCUUCAUACGUGAGGGGAAGUGACGUCGCUGCGAAUGCCGCAGCAAAGAUAGCGAUGUAAAACAAAAUGAGAAACGUCGCUACAAACUUACCGAUCAUCCUGGGAAAAAGCUCUGUUUAAUUAUUUCACGUAAUGGCUCGUGCCUCUACCAACGUGGAAAGGAACACAUUGCAAUGAAGCAGUCGGCUUUUCGAUUAUAAGUCUUUGGUCGCUUUUCAAAGCAAGAAAAAUGUGAUUUACACACCACCUCUCCGUU
This is an RNA transcript of Ooceraea biroi (clonal raider ant), 889 nucleotides long. RefSeq lists it as uncharacterized. The record is from RefSeq and is a predicted model, not a curated record. Lineage: Eukaryota; Metazoa; Arthropoda; Insecta; Hymenoptera; Formicidae.